GGAGGUAUAGCUCAGGGGUAGAGCAUUUGACUGCAGAUCAAGAAGUCCCCAGUUCAAGUCUGGGUGCCCCCU
This is a non-coding RNA of Xenopus tropicalis (tropical clawed frog), 72 nucleotides long. Lineage: Eukaryota; Metazoa; Chordata; Amphibia; Anura; Pipidae. The record is from Rfam.